GGUGUCAAAAUGGUGUCAAAUCAACAUAGGACCUUGGACACAUCCCACUAAUAAUAAAAGUUAUAUAAUUAAUGUAAAACAUUGCUAGAGUAAGCUAAUAAGACUGAAUAUCAGUGAUAAUUUUAUAAAUAAAAAGCGUCCAUAAAAAAUAGAAGAACGUCGUCCAUCUAUUCUUCGUUAUUUAAAAACUGGCGUUAUGGAGCAGGUAUCGACGAUACAUGAGGCAGUGAAACCGCUCUCGUGGUUGAUAGGAAGAUGGAGAUCCGUAAAUGCUGAAGCCACCUAUCCCACUAUGGCACCUUUUAAUUAUUGUGAAGAAAUAUCAUUUGAAACUUUAGGUCAACCAUUGUUGAACUAUACUUCGAAAACUUGGCAUCCACUUACACACAAACCAAUGCAUUUGGAAUCAGGAUUUUUAAGAAUUAAACCGGGGACAAAUGAAAUUGCGUUUAUGGUGGCACAUAAUUUUGGCUUAACUAGUUUAGAAGAAGGAACAGUUCAUUCUAACGAAGUAAUAUUUAAAUCAAAACAAAUCACCAGGAUGACAUUUGCUAGUGACCCAGCAGUCUUAGCUAUUGAACGAUGUUUUAAAUUAAAGGAUAACGGUAAUUUGGAAGUAAGUGUUUCGAUGGAAACGACUAAAACUCCUCUUACCCACCAUUUGAAAAGUGAACUGCAGAAAGUAUGAAUUACAAUGUUUAUACCAUGUAUAGAUGUGGUUCAAUAAAACGAAAAUGAUCUUUGUUAAA
Zophobas morio is the source of this 749-nucleotide long non-coding RNA. RefSeq lists it as uncharacterized. The transcript is spliced from 2 exons. Lineage: Eukaryota; Metazoa; Arthropoda; Insecta; Coleoptera; Tenebrionidae. The record is from RefSeq and is a predicted model, not a curated record.